This 497-nucleotide ribosomal RNA is filed under the name uncultured bacterium. RNAcentral's name for it is "partial 16S ribosomal RNA". It matches the Rfam family "Bacterial small subunit ribosomal RNA", at positions 28 to 507 of the family's 1533-position model. The record is from RNAcentral.
GAUGAACGCUGGCGGCGUGCCUAAUACAUGCAAGUCGAGCGAACGGACGAGAAGCUUGCUUCUCUGAUGUUAGCGGCGGACGGGUGAGUAACACGUGGAUAACCUACCUAUAAGACUGGGAUAACUUCGGGAAACCGGAGCUAAUACCGUAUAAUAUUUUGAACCGCAUGGUUCAAAAGUGAAAGACGGUCUUGCUGUCACUUAUAGAUGGAUCCGCGCUGCAUUAGCUAGUUGUUAAGGUAACGGCUUACCAAGGCAACGAUGCAUAACCGACCUGAGAGGGUGAUCGGCCACACUGGAACUGAGACCCGGUCCAGACUCCUACGGGAGGCAGCAGUAGGGAAUCUUCCGCAAUGGGAGAAAGCCUGACGGAGUAACGCCGAGUGAGUGAUGAAGGUCUUCGGAUCGUAAAACUCUGUUAUUAGGGAAGAACAUAUGUGUAAGUAACUGUGCACAUCUUGACGGUACCUAAUCAGAAAGCCACGGCUAACUACGUG